UCGAUGGGAGCUUGCUCCCUGAGAUUAGCGGCGGACGGGUGAGUAACACGUGGGCAACCUGCCUAUAAGACUGGGAUAACUUCGGGAAACCGGAGCUAAUACCGGAUACGUUCUUUUCUCGCAUGAGAGAAGAUGGAAAGACGGUUUCGGCUGUCACUUAUAGAUGGGCCCGCGGCGCAUUAGCUAGUUGGUGAGGUAAUGGCUCACCAAGGCGACGAUGCGUAGCCGACCUGAGAGGGUGAUCGGCCACACUGGGACUGAGACACGGCCCAGACUCCUACGGGAGGCAGCAGUAGGGAAUCUUCCGCAAUGGACGAAAGUCUGACGGAGCAACGCCGCGUGAACGAAGAAGGCCUUCGGGUCGUAAAGUUCUGUUGUUAGGGAAGAACAAGUACCAGAGUAACUGCUGGUACCUUGACGGUACCUAACCAGAAAGCCACGGCUAACUACGUGCCAGCAGCCGCGGUAAUACGUAGGUGGCAAGCGUUGUCCGGAAUUAUUGGGCGUAAAGCGCGCGCAGGUGGUUCCUUAAGUCUGAUGUGAAAGCCCACGGCUCAACCGUGGAGGGUCAUUGGAAACUGGGGAACUUGAGUACAGAAGAGGAAAGUGGAAUUCCAAGUGUAGCGGUGAAAUGCGUAGAGAUUUG
Molecule: ribosomal RNA, 646 nt
Filed under: Bacillus sp. FJAT-4568
Lineage: Bacteria; Bacillati; Bacillota; Bacilli; Caryophanales; Bacillaceae
Description: bacterial SSU rRNA
Rfam family: Bacterial small subunit ribosomal RNA
Source: RNAcentral